AGAAUCAACGCUGGCGGCGUGCCUAACACAUGCAAGUCGAACGAGAAAGUGGAGCAAUCCAUGAGUAAAGUGGCGCACGGGUGAGUAACACGCGACUAACCUACCCUCGAGUGGGGAAUAACCUCGGGAAACCGGGGCUAACACCGCAUAACAUCUACGGAUCAAAUGCGUAAGCAGCUUGAGGAGGGGGUCGCGGCUGAUUAGCUAGUUGGCGGGAUAAUGGCCCACCAAGGCAGUGAUCAGUA
This 245-nucleotide ribosomal RNA is filed under the name uncultured bacterium. Its description in RNAcentral is "partial small subunit ribosomal RNA". It matches the Rfam family "Bacterial small subunit ribosomal RNA", at positions 26 to 285 of the family's 1533-position model. The record is from RNAcentral.